UUCGUAGGCGGUUCGUCGCGUCCGGUGUGAAAGUCCAUCGCUUAACGGUGGAUCUGCGCCGGGUACGGGCGGGCUGGAGUGCGGUAGGGGAGACUGGAAUUCCCGGUGUAACGGUGGAAUGUGUAGAUAUCGGGAAGAACACCAAUGGCGAAGGCAGGUCUCUGGGCCGUUACUGACGCUGAGGAGCGAAAGCGUGGGGAGCGAACA
This 207-nucleotide ribosomal RNA is filed under the name uncultured bacterium. Its description in RNAcentral is "partial 16S ribosomal RNA". It matches the Rfam family "Bacterial small subunit ribosomal RNA", at positions 568 to 774 of the family's 1533-position model. The record is from RNAcentral.